AGAGGCUUCUUUUCUGUGGGCGUGGCCAAGGCAGCGGGGGUUUAUGACAAAGUUGAGCGACCUCAUGUCACUCAAACCAGCUGUAUUAAGGAAGGUGCAAGCUUUUGGGAUUUCUGUUUGGAUUUAGUUUAGGUUCAAAAGAGCACGCACAGAUCCUGAGUGUUGUCAAGCACCCGUGACUGGGAAACGGAGGCGUCCGAUCCGUAUUGGAGUCAAUUCGCCACUUAAUUGAACACAGCCUCGAAGGGAAGGGCCAUAUUUGUGGGCCUGUCUAACAAUUAAGAGUGACCACAUGGAAUGGGGGAUGAAAGGGUUAAAGAAGAACAAAUAUUGAACACAGCUUUUCUAUGAACAAACUGCAGGCAGCUGCUGCUUUGCAAGGGAAGCAGUUGAUUGAGAAUAAUGGUUCUGUUUUGGAGGUUGAUGGAAGAUGCCCUUUGGCCAGGAAAACAGCUCAUGCUUUUAGAGGAGGAUAAUUGCCAGAAGGCCUCUCUGAAUAAAAAAAAAUCCUGACCUCACAGCCUUUGCGCUUACUUGGGUUAGAAUGCCACAGUGAACAUUGCCCCUUGUCAUCACGUAGAGGUGCUCACAGGUAAAGCAACACAAGGAGCAUAUAGGAUCACCUGCUGGAUCUUGUUUUUAACACCAGGGAGGAAAAUGGUGUCUUGGGUAAUGAACAUGCCUCAAGACUGAGCUGGCCAUCUUCAGUGUCAUCCAAACCCUCAGUGGCCCCUGAAAAACCCUUUGAAAAGAUUCAGCACGUUGCCAUGGAGAACAUCCCACUGAAGGAAUGUAUAGAAGUAGCAGGUGUCAGCUGCCUACCAGUUGCUUUCAUCUCUAGAAAUCUGUGACUUGCAGUAUGACAAGAACAAAAGGUGACAAUACAAAGGACAAAGGGCAAGGAAUACAGACGGAGAAGCCGCUUAGAGUCUAGGAUGGCAGAGGUUCUCUUGAUCAUUUCAUUUUUGAGCGCUUGUAGAGCUUUGGUGUACCAGAGGUGCUUGAACAGCUUACCACACCACAGAUGAAUGGCCUUUGGAUUUCUCCUAAGAAAAUGUGGCUACCUGAAAUUCAACUCCAUUUUCUGGUCUUCAAUAUUUCUUUUGUGUUCAGUUUGCCAGCUGAGGAGAAGUGGCUAAGCAUAGCCUGUUACUGAUGCUAAAGCCCAAGUUCUGAACCUAACAACUCCAGCAACAUGAUCCUGUUUCAAGAGACAAAAAAGUGACUAAUGAAAGAAAACAAUUGAUGUGCUAUGUAGAGUUUAAAAGAAGGUAAAGAGAAUAAAUUAAAAGCAACAACUCUCUUCUUGACAA
Molecule: long non-coding RNA, 1313 nt
Filed under: Mus musculus (house mouse)
Lineage: Eukaryota; Metazoa; Chordata; Mammalia; Rodentia; Muridae
Description: predicted gene 14461
Source: RNAcentral